RNAcentral lists this small RNA (127 nucleotides) under Marmota monax (woodchuck). Lineage: Eukaryota; Metazoa; Chordata; Mammalia; Rodentia; Sciuridae. The record is from RNAcentral.
GCUAGGCAUGGUGGUGCACGCCUGUAAUCCCAGUGACUCAGGAGGCUGAGGCAGGAGGAUCGCAACUGUGAGGCCAGCCUCAGCAACUUAGCAAGACCCUAAGCAUCUUGGUGAGACCCUGUCUCAA